GACGAACGCUGGCGGCGUGCUUAACACAUGCAAGUCGAACGGAAAGGCCCUGCUUUUGUGGGGUGCUCGAGUGGCGAACGGGUGAGUAACACGUGAGUAACCUGCCCUUGACUUUGGGAUAACUUCAGGAAACUGGGGCUAAUACCGGAUAGGAGCUCCUGCUGCAUGGUGGGGGUUGGAAAGUUUCGGCGGUUGGGGAUGGGCUCGCGGCUUAUCAGCUUGUUGGUGAGGUAGUGGCUUACCAAGGCUUUGACGGGUACGCGGCCUGAGAGGGUGACCGGCCACACUGGGACUGAGGUACGGCCCAGACUCCUACGGUAGGCAGCAGUGCGGAAUCUUGCACAAUGGGCGGAAGCCUGAUGCAGCAACGCCGCGUGCGGGAUGACGGCCUUCGGGUUGUAAACCGCUUUCGCCUGUGACGAAGCGUGAGUGACGGUAAUGGGUAAAGAAGCACCGGCUAACUACGUG
RNAcentral lists this ribosomal RNA (468 nucleotides) under uncultured bacterium. RNAcentral describes it as "partial 16S ribosomal RNA". It matches the Rfam family "Bacterial small subunit ribosomal RNA", at positions 28 to 507 of the family's 1533-position model. The record is from RNAcentral.